Non-coding RNA from Misgurnus anguillicaudatus (oriental weatherfish), 2132 nucleotides. NCBI's taxonomy places the organism in Eukaryota, Metazoa, Chordata, Actinopteri, Cypriniformes, Cobitidae. The record is from RefSeq and is a predicted model, not a curated record.
UAAAAGUGAACACAAUACAACCCUGAACAACUCUGAUCAAUUCGGCAUAAAUAUAAAAGAAAAUCAGAGAUGGGGAAGAUUGACUCAGGAGAGAUUGGCGAGAGAGGGGAAGCUGCUGAGAAUGUGUGGAAGAAAUGUAUCACGCCAUCUCUCCGGCCGCAGACUUCCUUUGGGCAUAUGAAGGAGACCAGAUCCAGUCGUCAACGCAGUCUGGGCACGGGGUGAGUUGGUGAAGAAGGAUGGAUGAUUUCUACUGGAAGCCCUGGAGGAGAAACACUUAGUGAAUAUAUGCGAAUCUAAGAGGACGUCAGCAUACUUCCCUCCCAAAAAAUAUUUACGGAAGGAGCUGUUGAAGCGGGAAGCUUGUACUUUUUUCCAUCACUUUACAGUGGAAUACUCCCCGAGGCACCGUUGAGAUUAACACUGAACCAUGUUGCAUGAGUAGACAAAGCCCCCAAGUGAGUGGAUUACUGUCAGGACGGAAGGUAUAGGGAAGACCAGGCCGCCCGUAAUUCCUAUGGAAGAUGGUGCGGAGCUGCGGAUGGGCAGAGGCGAGGGACGCGGCCGCGCAGCGCGCACUCUGACGGGGCGCACGCAAGGAGCGGCCGCUGGAGGAGAGCGCGCACGGGAAGAUGCGUCUGGAUCCGUUCGGGAGGGAAACGAGACUUAGAUAUGUCAGUCAAACUGAGUUGGAAACGAGGACUGUAAAUCUCUGCUCUAUUGGGGAGAUCAAAUGAAAUGAAGACGCACAUCAAGGUUUUUUCUUCCAAGCAUGGCGGUGAUAAUUGGAUUGUGUGGACACCUGUAUGAGUGCAGUAUAUCCAGGGGAUUAGAGGAUGUGAUGGGUUCUGUCCAAACCUGUGGUUCAUGUGCACCUUGAAUGCUUCAGCUGAAUUCUGUUGUUUUGUCAUCUUGAGGGCCAGACCUGCAUCCUGCAUCAACUUUGACCUCGAGGGGAAUGCAAGUGUUAAAGUGAUUUUACAUAUAGAAUACUUGGUGUCAAAUAGACGUACUGACCCAGCUACCUGGAAACCUGCAUGGAGUGUUUUGGAAAGCUCUGAGCCUUGCAUGCCUGUUGUUACCUGUUUCGGAUAAACAAACCCCACAGCAGGCCGAGCAGGAGUUCGUCGCUGCACACCACGCUCACACACUAAGCAAACUAUGACCAGGUGUGCACGCAUAGAGCCGAUCUUCCGUCAGCAUCCUGUCACGCAGAAGAUGUUUAUCCAAUUUGUCAAGAUAAUCUUUCCUCAAACAAGGCCUGGGUUGAGGCCUCUUGGCACACACAACUACUGCAAGGCAGAAACGCAAACUGUCUCCUUUAACUUUUUGUGAGACUACUUAUAUUAUAUCUUUCUUAACCAAAUUAUCUGGCUUUGCUUUUUCUGGCAUGUUUAAGAUCUGUUUAAUUCGUUCUCAGACAGAUCAUCCUGCACAUUACACAAAUUUAGACUCUUAAUGGUGUUGCGAUCUGUUUAAUUUUUCUCCCUGGAUUACUGCUUUAUUAAUGAUGUCAGUUUUACUGGAAUAUGAAAUGACACGCACAUUAGCAUAAAUAACACACAUCUGCAUAUGGCCCACAACUGACGGUGGUUGACACACACUUAAAUUACAGCAUAAGCAAAAAAAAUAAAUCUUUUCAUUUGCUACGGUGUGGAUUAUUUUAAAAGGAUUUCGGUGGGAUAUUUAUGAAUGUUUCAUGAUACACAAACUUCAUAUUUAGAGAGGGGGUUAUUUAUCUCUGGAUAUCAUCUUAAAUAAUAGGAGUUAUUAUAAAAGCCUCUUAAAUGAUGUGUGCUGUAAUUGCACAGCUGCAGCACAUGUCCGUUUUAACUUUGUGACAAGAUCUGCAAACUUUUUGUAAAGUAUUUUAAGACUUCAUAGGACUAAAGAUGACAGACUUACUAGUCCUAUGUAUAAUUUGAUUUCUAAGACUAUGUAUAAUUUGAUUUCUAAGUCUAUAGUUUGUCAUGUUUUGCAGUUGCACAAGUAGCUGAGCAGAACUACGAACAUGAAACAUUAAAUACAAUAAAGAACCUAAUAGUAAAUUAAAAGUGCGUUAUCAUGGAAAUCAAGAGCAUGUUUAAUGAUAACUUAAGGCACCUUUGACACACAAACAGUGCAAAGCUGCU